RNAcentral lists this long non-coding RNA (5190 nucleotides) under Sus scrofa (pig). RNAcentral's name for it is "lncRNA (ENSSSCG00060052104.1)". Lineage: Eukaryota; Metazoa; Chordata; Mammalia; Artiodactyla; Suidae. The record is from RNAcentral.
AGAAUAAUAUCUUGAUUUGCACUCCAUGUUUGAUUAAUGUGAAUGGCCAGAGGAUGCAACCUCCAAAUAUCAGUUUUCUUUUUAAUGCUCUUUUAGUAAAUAUUAGAAAUUUUAUUUUGCACUGCUUAUUUUGUUUUUUUAAUUUUUUAAUUUUUUUUAUUUUACAAUGAUUUUUAUUUUUUCCAUUAUAGCUGGUUUAGAGUGUUCUGUCAAUUUUCUACUGUACAGCAAGGUGACCCAGUUACACAUACAUGUAUACAUUCUUUUUUCUCACAUUAUCAUGGUCCAUCAUGUGUGACUAGACUAGACAUAGUUCCCAGUGCUAUACAGCAGGAUCUCAUUGCACUGCUUAUUUUGUUUUGUGUUAGUUCACACUUCCUAUUGAGGCAACUCUUUUUUUUUUUUUUUUUUUUUUUUUCCUUUUGGUGUUGCACCCCAAGUACAUGGAGGCUCCCAGGUUAGGGGUUGAAUUGGAGCUACAGCUGCUGGCCUACACCAUAGCCACAGCAACGCCAGCCAGAUCUGUAACCCACUGAGCGAGGCCAGAGAUCAAACCCGAGACCUCACGGCUCCUAGUUGGGUUCGUUUCUGCUGCACCAUGACAGGAACUCCCAUCGAGGCACUCUUGAUGUUUACUAUUACCUACUAGAGCAUAAAACAAGUAUUCACUAAUGUUCAAACUAAUGCCCAAUACUUUAUCUCAAAUAAUUUUCUAUGAUGUAUAGCUUUAAAUAAUAUUUUUAUUAGUUUUAAAUCAUUAUAUAUAUAGAAAUAAAUACCGUUCUAUUAAUCAAUUCAUAAAAUAUGGAGAACAUGUUUCUUUUGAAAGUGACACAGUGGCUACAAUGGUAUUUGGAAAAAUAUACAUAGAAACUGAGCAUAUGGGCAUGCAAGUGUAGCAUAUGGAUUUCCAUAUGUUAAGACACUUCAAGAAACAUGGCCAUAGUAUUGAUAAUAGUGUGGUAUGAUGCCCUGAUUUAAUUAAACAUUGGAGUCCUUCAUUUAGCAGUAGUAAAAAACCUUACUAACAUUUUAAGAAGGACUUAUUCUUAAAGUAGUGGCUCUUAAACCUGGCCAGAUAUUAGAAUUGCCUGGGGAACUUUGAAACUUUUCUCAUACCUGAGGGCUCACCCAAAGGCAUUGUUAUUUAAUUGAUUUAGGGUUACAGUGCAAACCAGAAUUUUUUUUUUUAAGUUCUCCUUUGUGUAGACAGGAUUGAGAACUAUUGCUCUCAAAGUAUCAAAUAAGACACUGCUUUUAAGUUCCUCCAAAACAACUUUAUAAUUUUUUUUCCUAAAAAGUGGCAGUGAUAGUAUGAAAGAUAUGUUUGCUCAACACCUAAGUUGAGUCAUCUAAGCAUCAAAAAUUGAAGUGCCUUCAAGCCAAAACUAAAUAAUGCAAACUGUUUUUUUUUUUCUUUAUUGCAAAGCAAGUUAGGAUUCCAUUUCAAUGUGCUUCUUUAUUGCUUUUCUAUUUCUGAAAAACAGUAUUACAGUCCCAUAGUAAACCGAAAUGGACUGAAGAAAGGUGGUUAAACACUGAGAAUGCUAUCUGAGUGUGGUCUGUAGAAAUAUCUUACCACUCAAUAGCCUCAACAAGGGAUUACAUUUCAAAACAUAUGAUUAAUGGUAAUAAAAGAAAAAGAUAGUUUUAUUUUGGCAGUAAGUUUGCAUUUUUCAGUUACUAUAAAAAUGCAGCUUUCUGUAACAUGAUAGUGCUAAAAAAAUCUUUCUGUUUAGGGUAUUGCUUGUGAAAUGAUGUACUGGCUUUCUACAUAUUAAACUUUUCAAAAUGGAUUUUGCUCUCUACAUUUCAGUGACCUCCAAUAGGUAAUGUUAUUAUUCAACUGUAACCUGCUAUUAAGAUCAGAAUAAGAAAUAGCAGCUUUAGAUUUUUUUAUCUUUUUUGUUUUGUUUUGUUUUUGUUCCCUUCUCAGUAAUUUCUUUUUUUAUUCAUCUUCAGAUUUAUCCAUCCCUGGCAAUUUCAAGCUAGAAGAAACAAAUUAAGAAAAAAAAUUAAUUGACUUUAUUUGCUUUAAUGCUGCCAACUCAUAUUAUCUGCUUUCUUAAAUGAGUUUGGAAUUGCCAGCUUUGAGGGUAUUACACUACAUUUUGGGUUGCUGCCAGCAUAUCCUGAGCAAAUAUAUUUAAAUCAAAGCUAAGCUGCUUAAAUAUUCAUGUUAUGCUCUUAUUAUGGUUUAGAGAAAUGUGAAACCAUUUAAGAUUUGCAAACCUGUUACAUGGCCAAAAAAUGUAUUUGAACUGUCAGAAAUAUGCUUUAAAUUGAUAAUGUUAACCUACUUUAAUAAGGAAAGGUUUCCAUAUCUUAUUAGUUGUGAUGCAUUCAAAAUGUCUAAUUUGUUUGUGAUUUUCCAGUCACUAGAGCAAUACAAAUGUAAUCUUUUUCAUCUGAAAUAUAUAUUGGGAAUGCACCCCAGAAGGUUAUGAUACUAAAUGUGUAGAUUGGAGUUCCCGUUGUGGCUCAGUGGUUAACGAAUCCAACUAGGACCCAUGAGGUUGUGGGUUCGAUCCCUGCCCUUGUUCAGUGGGUUAAGGAUCCAGUGUUGCCGUGAGCUGUGGCAUAGUUCGCAGAUGCGGCUUGGAUCCCGCAUUACUGUGGCUGUGGCAUAGGCCGGCUGCUACAGCUCCAAUUAGAUCCUACCCUGGGAACCUCCAUAUGCCUCGGGAGCGGCCCUAGAAAAGGCAAGAAGAAAAAAAAAAAGUGUAGAUCCUUCCAGUCCUUGUGCUCUAUGUCUACACUUUGAUUUUUUUUAUAAGCUCCCAUUUAGCAUAUAUAUGUUAAAUUUUACUGCAUUAAGUUUUCCUUCUAGCUUCAUUGACAUGUUCCUUCCAAAACAUACAAUUUAGAACUUUUCUGUAAAACAUCAAUUUACUUCCCAGUGACAAGCUUUGAGGAGUCCCAAUUGUGUGAGCAAAGCAUAAGUUAUAAAAAGGGAAAUUAUCAAGAAACGCUAAAUACCAAAUAAUUGUUACCUGAAACGAUAAAGAAAGCAAAGGAAAAGAAGCUCACACCUUUGUAUACGGGGUGAAAUUGAGGUCUUCCUCCUGCAGACUGAAGCAAGUGGACUUAUUUUGCUGCUGCCUCCUACCCCUAGUGCCUUCUGCUCCAUCUUCUUAGACUGGCAGCAUUACUAACUGAAGAUUAAAACAUUUGGUUGUAUAUAAAACAGGUUUGUUCCUUUGAUUUUCCUUAAAGACAGAAAUGCUACAGAAUUUUAAAAUUCCAGAAUACCAAAAGCUAUGUGUUUAUACUCAUAGAUUUUAAUGACAGUGGAAUAAUCUAUGAUAUAUGGGAUGGAGCAUUUUUAAAGCUUUCUGAGAGAUCCAAUAUAAAUUCAUGAGAUACUAGUGAGAAUUGCCAGUGUCCAACCUCUAGCCCUCACAUGAGUAUGGCCAAGCAUGCUAGCAGAGGCAGGUUUCAAAAGCUAGUGCAGCUGUCCCAGACAAGCCGCUGGUGCUGUAUUAUGCCUUCUGUUUAAAUGUUUGCAUUUCAACAUAGGAGACUAACCGGUUACAGCAGUAGGCCCAGCUGUGUGCUUAGUAUAAUAUGCCCUAGACUGAGCUCUUUUUAGAAUUCCUAAAACUAAACCCUUGGAGGGUGCAGUGCAACCAUCAGCUUUUACUGAAUUCUGCUCUAUGUGUUGUAGUGUUAGAGAAGUUCCCACAGGUAAUUUUUUGCUUCCAUGAGGCAUAAGCCUACUGGGGCAGCUCGUGAGAGGAUUACCGGUUCAUCUGCUUUAGUGCUCUGCAAAGAAGUGGAAUUUUUAAAAAUUGUUUUUUUGAGGUGAAGUUGAUGUACAAAUAUAUAAUGUUCACAUAUAUAACAUAGUGUGAUUCACAAUUUUUAAAGGUUUUAUUCCAUUUAUAAUUAUUAUAGAACAUUGGCUAUAUUCCCUGUGUUUUACAAUAUAUAUCCUUGUAGCUUAUUUCUCCUUCUUCUAUCUUGUCCCUCUUCCCUCUGUCUUCCUACCAAUAACCACUAGUUUAUUCUCUGUAUCUGUGAGCCUGCUUCUGUUUUGCUAUAUUCACUAGUUUUAUUUUUUAGAUUCCAUAUCUAAAUGAUAUCAUAUAGUAUUUUUUUUCUGACUUAUUUCACUUAGUGUUAUAUUUUUCAAGGCUAUCCAUGUUGUUACAAAUGGCAAAAUUUUAUUCUUUUUUAUGGCUGAGUAAUAGUUGUGUGUGUGUGUAUGUAAUUGUGAAAAAUGCUGCUAGGAACAUUAGGCGCAUGUAUCUUUUCAAAUUAGUGUUUUCAUUUCUUUUUUUCAGGGGGAAUAAAUAUCCAGAAAUACAAUUGCUGGGACUUAUGGUAGCUCUAUUUUUAGUUUUUUGAGAAACCUUCCUAGUGUUUUCCAUAGUAGCUGCACCAAUUUAAACCCCCUCCAACAGUGUAUGAAGGUUCCCUUUUCUCCACAUUCUUGCCAAUAUUUACUGUUUGUCUUUUUGAUGAUAGCCAAGGAGGAAUUUAACCUUUUUGGUAUAAAUUUGCUGAUUCUCAAGAGUUUUAGACAUUGAUCAUGAAUAUUUGUGUAAUUCUUCAUUUGAAAUUCAGUGUUAGUCCUGCCUUAAGAUUUGAAAUCAGAUCAACAACACAUAAUCAUCAGAACUAUUUUCAACUUUUAAAUUAAAAGUUAUGUUUUAAAAGUAUGAACUUUGGAGUUCCUGUUGUGGUGCACCGGAAAUGAAUCCGACUGGGAACCAUGAGGUUGCGGGUUUGAUCCCUGGCCUGGCUCAGUGGGUUAAGGAUCCAUCGUUGCCAUGAGCUGCGGUGUAGGUUGUGACGUGGCUUGGAUCCCACAUUGCUGUAGCUGUGGUGUGGGCCAGCAGCUUCAGCUCCGAUUGGACCCCUGGCCUGGGAACCUCUAUAUGCUACGGGUGCUCUAUAUGCUAAAAAGCUAAAAAAAAAGUAAAAAUAAAAGUAUGGACUUGUACACCAUUUGUGAAAGAGAGUGAACAAUCUCUCUGUUCUUAAAAUAAUAUGAUGAUGUUGCUAAGUCAGAAUUAAAAUACUCAAUAUUAUAUGGAUAGUGUUUGGGGUAAAACAUAAUGAUCACUUUAAAAUAACCUAAACAAAAUUUUGGUUUUAAUAAUAUAGUAAUAUGUAUAAGUAUGCUUUUAAUAUAAUAAGUAUGCUUUUCUAAUUAAAUAUUUUUAUUAUAGAAAUUAAACAACA